RNAcentral lists this ribosomal RNA (253 nucleotides) under uncultured bacterium. RNAcentral's name for it is "partial 16S ribosomal RNA". It matches the Rfam family "Bacterial small subunit ribosomal RNA", at positions 524 to 776 of the family's 1533-position model. The record is from RNAcentral.
UACGUAGGGUGCAGGCGUUAAUCGGAAUUACUGGGCGUAAAGCGUGCGCAGGCGGUUUCUUAAGUCAGAUGUGAAAGCCCCGGGCUUAACCUGGGAACUGCGUUUGAAACUGGGAGACUAGAGUGUGGCAGAGGGGGGUGGAAUUCCACGUGUAGCAGUGAAAUGCGUAGAUAUCGAGAGGAACACCAGUGGCGAAGGCGAGUCUCUGGACGACUCCUGACACUGAGGCACGAAAGCUAGGGGAGCAAACAGG